This 451-nucleotide ribosomal RNA is filed under the name uncultured bacterium. RNAcentral describes it as "bacterial SSU rRNA". It matches the Rfam family "Bacterial small subunit ribosomal RNA", at positions 606 to 1050 of the family's 1533-position model. The record is from RNAcentral.
AGCUCAACUCUGGAACUGCCAACCAAAAUUUUUUAACUAGAGUAGUGAUAGAGGUAAGUGGAAAUUUCGUAGUGUAGAGGUGAAAUUCGUAGAUAUUAGAAAGAUACCAAUUGCGAAGGCAGCUUUCUGGAUCAUUACUGACACUGAGGAACGAAAGCGAUGGGUAGCGAAGAGGAUUACGAUACCUCGUAGUCCAUGCCGUAAACGAUGUGUGUUAGACGUUGGAAAUUUAUUUUCAGUGUCGCAGCGAAAGCGAUAAACACACCGCCUGGGGAGUACGACCGCAAGGUUAAAACUCAAAUGAAUUGACGGGGACCCGCACAAGUAGUGGAGCAUGUGGUUUAAUUCGAAGAUACGCGCAGAACCUUACCAACACUUGACAUGUUCGUUCGCGACUCUAAGAGAUUAGAGUUUUCGGUUCGGCCGGACGAAACACAGGUGCUGCAUGGCU